UCUUCUUCACCAUAACCGGAUCUGUGUCCAGAUUUCCUGCCCAUGGACUCCAGUCUGACUGGUUUCUGUGUGGUGGUUGAGAGCUGGGCAUUUCGACGAGCUUGGAGCCAUCUUUUUUUUUGUGUGGAUGGCCUUUACGGUUUCCGGUCGACAGAUCUCAGAUCAAUUGUCUGCGCCUUGUGACGCGGGUCUUGAGCUCCCACUGGUGAGCUCGGCUUGAUAGCUUGGUGUCGGACGGCGUCAUAUUUCAUAUCUCUUUGCCGAUUGGCCGUUGGCCGCUGAGGUUAGGGAAUAACCAUGACUUGCCAACAUCU
Molecule: small RNA, 314 nt
Filed under: Penicillium vulpinum
Lineage: Eukaryota; Fungi; Ascomycota; Eurotiomycetes; Eurotiales; Aspergillaceae
Description: A. fumigatus sRNA Afu_309
Rfam family: A. fumigatus sRNA Afu_309
Source: Rfam by way of RNAcentral